This 633-nucleotide ribosomal RNA is filed under the name uncultured Bacteroidales bacterium. RNAcentral's name for it is "bacterial SSU rRNA". It matches the Rfam family "Bacterial small subunit ribosomal RNA", at positions 60 to 680 of the family's 1533-position model. Lineage: Bacteria; Pseudomonadati; Bacteroidota; Bacteroidia; Bacteroidales. The record is from RNAcentral.
AGUCGAGGGGCAGCAUGGUCUUAGCUUGCUAAGGCUGAUGGCGACCGGCGCACGGGUGAGUAACACGUAUCCAACCUGCCGUCUACUCUUGGCCAGCCUUCUGAAAGGAAGAUUAAUCCAGGAUGGGAUCAUGAGUUCACAUGUCCGCAUGAUUAAAGGUAUUUUCCGGUAGACGAUGGGGAUGCGUUCCAUUAGAUAGUAGGCGGGGUAACGGCCCACCUAGUCAACGAUGGAUAGGGGUUCUGAGAGGAAGGUCCCCCACAUUGGAACUGAGACACGGUCCAAACUCCUACGGGAGGCAGCAGUGAGGAAUAUUGGUCAAUGGGCGAUGGCCUGAACCAGCCAAGUAGCGUGAAGGAUGACUGCCCUAUGGGUUGUAAACUUCUUUUAUAAAGGAAUAAAGUCGGGUAUGCAUACCCGUUUGCAUGUACUUUAUGAAUAAGGAUCGGCUAACUCCGUGCCAGCAGCCGCGGUAAUACGGAGGAUCCGAGCGUUAUCCGGAUUUAUUGGGUUUAAAGGGAGCGUAGAUGGAUGUUUAAGUCAGUUGUGAAAGUUUGCGGCUCAACCGUAAAAUUGCAGUUGAUACUGGAUGUCUUGAGUGCAGUUGAGGCAGGCGGAAUUCGUGGUGUAGCG